GCCUCUGCAAGUAGAGAGGAAGGAUGCGUCUUGGAGCGCGGGGAGGAGGGGAAGAUCUGACUCCUAGAUCCUUGGCUGUCUGCUGUGAGAAGAGCCCAAGGACGCUCCAACUGCACGCACUUAACACAGGACACCAUGAGAGAAAAGACGGGAAGAGGAAAAGCGCAGGGAGGGACAUAUGGCCUAGAUUCUACCCAGGCAAGAAUUCUGCGGCCACUAGUGGCUCCAGGAACCACGCGGACUUGUGUUCUCAGCUCCUAAAUCCCCCAAGCCAUUUGAGAUUCUAUUUGUUCUUGAAUGUACCUCCUCUUUUGUAAUGAGCUUUAAAAGUUUGCUCGGUGACAUCGCACCUCUUCCUCCUCACCUGAGAUUUAUCCAUUCAUCCGUUCAUUCACUAAUCAGCUAUGAGGUACCUAUGACGCCAGGCAGUCAGGAUAGGGGCUGAGGAACAUAGAUGAAGAAGUCAAAUUUCUUUCCCUCCAGGAGGUCACUUUCUACUGAGAAGGGCGACAUUCAAGUCAAAGGAAGUGCAUUUGAGAUAGAAGAAUGUACUGGGUACCAGGAGGCCCAAAGAAG
This 576-nucleotide long non-coding RNA is filed under the name Felis catus (domestic cat). Its description in RNAcentral is "lncRNA (ENSFCAG00000047341.1)". The record is from RNAcentral. Lineage: Eukaryota; Metazoa; Chordata; Mammalia; Carnivora; Felidae.